RNAcentral lists this ribosomal RNA (208 nucleotides) under uncultured bacterium. Its description in RNAcentral is "partial 16S ribosomal RNA". It matches the Rfam family "Bacterial small subunit ribosomal RNA", at positions 568 to 774 of the family's 1533-position model. The record is from RNAcentral.
CGCGCAGGCGGCCUUUUAAGUCUGACGGUGAAAUGCCGGGGCUCAACCCCGUGCCCGCCGGAGAUACUGGGAGGCUGGAGACGAGUAGAGGCAAGCGGAAUUCCGGGUGUAGCGGUGGAAUGCGUAGAGAUCCGGGAGAACACCGGAGGCGAAGGCGGCUUGCUGGGCUCGGUCUGACGCUGAGGCGCGAAAGCGUGGGGAGCGAACA